AUUUUGGCCAGAGGUUUGUGGGGAUCAGGGGUCUGGGGUUCAGUUGGGGUGGUUUGUGACCUCCAACGGCGGUGAUCGGCUUGCAAGGCUUGUGAAUUUGGGAGUUUUGCGGUGCUAAUAAUAGAGCAAGCUCGCGGAGCUGAUUGCUUUGGGGCGGUAACAGGGAAUUUUUUCAUGAGGCAUGGGGAGUCAUCCAUGUAAAAACAUUUUUCGGCUGCUUGGGAAUUUUUAGGCCUCUAAAUUGGACUAAAAUUUAGGUGUUUCAUCACGAAUUGCAGAACUAUUUGAAGUGAAUGCAGAAGCAAUUUCGUUUUGGGGAAGGAAAAUUGGGGGAAUGUGUUUCAACGAUGUUAAUUUGUCUUAAUUUUGUGCGGACAUGCGAACAGGUGACCUUCCGAGAUCCAGAUUCGGCGAGGAUGGCCUGCAUGGAUCCCUAUCCAGUAAUUGACGGGCGGUGUGCCUGUUUCUAGUGUAUUAGAGUUGCCAUAAUCAUCCCAUUUUCUAUCAUUUCAGAGUCUCCAGGAUAUACAGGUAUAUGAUGUAAUACUUUGCUCCCUGUCAAUGAGUACGCUCAGAGUUUCUCGAGCAUUUUUUGGGAUCGUCAAUUUUUUUAGCCAUGUCAUAUAGAUAUUGUUAUGAUUGGUUAAUUUCCAACUAUGGUAGGUAGACGAUAGAAAUAAAAUGCAUUACUGAUCUAAAUGGGGUUCAGUAGUUCAUAGUUACACUCAUUGAGAGGUAAUAUAACUUAAUAUCAGUUUAAUGUGUAUGACUGUAACUUGCAGCGGAGGAGCAGAGGCGGCAGCCCGCGCGCAGGGCGGCUGCUCCGGCCAGCCCCUUCAACUUCUCCACCAUGAUGAACUUGCUGAAUGACCCGAGCAUCAAGGAGAUGGUGGAGCAGAUUGCCAAGGACCCGUCCUUCAGCGAGAUGCCCCGUAAAUCUACUAUAUGAUCAAUCAAAACAUGUUUUGUCCAAAGUCCAAACUUAAUGGUGUGAUAUUGUGGCAUAUUUACCAUGGAGCUAGCAUAUAUGUGGAGCUGACUUUGUUCCUGGAGGAGCAGACACAGAGGAGGAAUCUGCUAUCUCAAAGCAGUUGAUCAACGCCGGGAGGGUGGGUACGUGAUGUCGGAGGCUGCCGGGAGGGUGGUGACGAGCUACCGAAGAGAUGAGUUCUGGCUCUCCUCGAUGCCAGGACGAGGCGCUGCUGCCGAUCGGACAUGGACUCGAUUGAUUUUGAAUUGAAAUAUGACGGGUUGUAAUGUAAAAUGCACUUCAGUUCAAAUUUCCUCCCCUUGCGAGAGGUAUUAUUGGACGGAGGGAGUAGAAGAUUAGUUAUAGGAUUUUGUUUUAUUUCUGUGCAAUUUUCUUUUUAUUGGAUACUUGUAAAGACAUGGUAAUAUUCUUGCU
This 1405-nucleotide ribosomal RNA is filed under the name Triticum aestivum (bread wheat). Its description in RNAcentral is "partial small subunit ribosomal RNA". The record is from RNAcentral. Lineage: Eukaryota; Viridiplantae; Streptophyta; Magnoliopsida; Poales; Poaceae.